GAAAUGCGAUACGUAGUGUGAAUUGCAGAAUUCAGUGAAUCAUCGAAUCUUUGAACGCACAUUGCGCCCUUUGGUAUUCCAAAGGGCAUGCCUGUUCGAGCGUCAUUUGUACCCUCAAGCUUUGCUUGGUGUUGGGCGUUUUUGUCUUUGGCCUUGCCCAAAGACUCGCCUUAAAACGAUUGGCAGCCGGCCUACUGGUUUCGGAGCGCAGCACAUUUUUGCGCUUGCAACCAGCAAAAGAGGCCAGCAAUCCAUCAAGACUUCUUCUCACUUUUGACCUCGGAUCAGGUAGGGAUACCCGCUGAACUUAGGC
Molecule: unclassified non-coding RNA, 313 nt
Filed under: plant metagenome
Description: partial contains 5.8S ribosomal RNA, internal transcribed spacer 2, and large subunit ribosomal RNA
Rfam family: 5.8S ribosomal RNA (bases 1-105)
Source: RNAcentral